CCUCAAAGAAUUUAUUUUUUUAUUUUUAUUUUUUGUGCUAAAAUUCAUACAUUAUAUUUUGUUUCUUUACAAAUUUUUUUGGAAGAAAAAAACUUAGAAAAUAGGCCCAUCCAAGUCUGAAAUUGGACAUUAUAGAUUUUGGUUGGUGAGUUCGAAAAAUCAACUAGAUUGAUUGUGAGCUCAAAAAACUAUUGGUGUAAGAUUGUGGUUGGUGAUCCCAAAAAAUCAAUUGCAUUGAUAGUA
RNAcentral lists this long non-coding RNA (243 nucleotides) under Elaeis guineensis (African oil palm). Its description in RNAcentral is "long non-coding RNA (EGUI_LNC038510)". The record is from RNAcentral. Lineage: Eukaryota; Viridiplantae; Streptophyta; Magnoliopsida; Arecales; Arecaceae.